This 7035-nucleotide long non-coding RNA is filed under the name Lathyrus oleraceus (garden pea). RNAcentral's name for it is "Pisum sativum (pea) long non-coding RNA (PSAT_LNC040026)". Lineage: Eukaryota; Viridiplantae; Streptophyta; Magnoliopsida; Fabales; Fabaceae. The record is from RNAcentral.
AAAUUUCAUAGGUUUAACAACAACAUUUUCAUCAUUCACACAAUUCAAUCAAAUUUCAUAGGUUUAACAACAACACUUUCAUCAUUCCCAUAAUUCAAUCAAAUUUCAUGGGUUUAACAUCAUCAUUUUCGUCAUUCACACAGUUCAAUCAAAUUUCAUGGGUUUAACAUCAACAUUUCAUCAUUUCCACAAUUCAAUCAAAUUUCAUAGGUUUAACAACAACAUUUUCAUCAUUCACACAAUUCAAUCAAAUUUUAUAGGUUUAACAACAACAUUUUCAUCAUCCCCAUAAUUCAACCAAAUUUCAUGGGUUUAAUUAACAACAACAUUUUCAUCAUUCCCACAAUUCAAUCAAAUUUCAUGGGUUUAUCAUCAACAUUUUCAUGAUUCCCACAAUUCAAUCAAAUUUCAUCGGUUUAACAACAACAUUUCUAUCAUUCACACAAUUCAAUCAAAAUUCAUGUGUUUAAUAACAAUAUUUCCGUUAUUCCCACAAUUCAAUCAAAUUUCAUGGGUUUAACAACAACAUUUUCAUUUUUCACACAAUUCAAUCAAAUUUCUUGGGUUUAACAUCAACAUUUCAUCAUUUCCACCAUUCAAUAAAUUUCAUAGAUUUAACAACAAAAUUUUCAUCAUUCCCACAAUUCAAUCAAAAUUCAUGGGUUUAACAUCAUCAUUUUCAUCAUUAACACAGUUCAAUCAAAUUUCAUGGGUUUACCAUCAACAUUUCAUCAUUUCCACAAUUCAAUCAAAUUUCAUAGGUUUAACAACAACAUUUUCAUCAUUCACACAAUUCAUUCAAAUUUCAUGGGUUUAACAUUAUCAUUUUCAUCAUUCACACAGUUCAAUCAAAUUUCAUGGGUUUAACAUCAACAUUUCAUCAUUUCCACAAUUCAAUCAAAUUUCAUGGUUUUAACAACAAUAUUUUCAUUUAAUCACACAAUUCAAUCAAAUUUCAUGGGUUUAACAUCAACAUUUUCAUCAUUCCCACAAUUCAAUCAAAAUUCAUGUGUUUAAUAACAACAUUUCCAUUAUUCCCACAAUUCAAUCAAAUUUCAUGGGUUUAAAUUCAUGUGUUUAAUAACAACAUUUCCAUUAUUCCCACAAUUCAAUCAAAUUUCAUGGGUUUAACAACAACAUUUUCAUUUUUCACACAAUUCAAUCAAAUUUCUUGGGUUUAACAUCAACAUUUCGUCAUUUCCACCAUUCAAUCAAAUUUCAUAGGUUUAACAACAACAUUUUCAUCAUUCACAUAAUUCAUUCAAAUUUCAUGGGUUUAACAUUAUCACUUUCAUCAUUCACACAGUUCAAUCAAAUGUCAUGGGUUUAACAUCAACAUUUCAUCGUUUCCACAAUUCAAUCAAAUUUCAUAGGUUUAACAACAACAUUUUCAAUAUUCACACAAUUCAAUCAAAUUUCAUAGGUUUAACAACAACCUUUUCAUCAUUCCCAUAAUUUAAUCAAAUUUCAUCGGUUUAACAUCAACAUUUUCAUCGUUCACACAAUUCAAUUAGAUUUUAAGGGUUUAACAAAAUAAUUUUUAUUAUUCAUAUAUUUCAAUCAAAUUUCAGGGUUUUAACAACAAUAUUUUCAUUUAAUCACACAAUUCAAUCAAAUUUUAUGGGUUUAACAUCAUCAUUUUCAUCAUUCCCACAAUUCAAUCAAAUUUCCUGUUUUUAACGUCAUCACUUUUAUCAUUCACACAAUUCAAUCGAAUUUCAUGGGUUUAACAUCAACAUUUCAUCAUUUCAACAAUUCAAUCAAAUUUCAUAGGUUUAACAACAACAUUUUCAUCAUUUACACAAUUCAAUAAAAUUUUAUAGGUUUAACAACAACAUUUUCAUCAUCCCCAUAAUUCAACCAAAUUUCAUGGGUUAAACAACAACAUUUUCAUCAAUCCCACAAUGCAAUCAAAUUUCAUGGGUUUAACAUCAACAUUUUCAUCAUUCCCACAAUUCAAUCAAAUUUCAUGGGUUUAACAACAACAUUUCUAUCAUUCACACAACUCAAUCAAAUUUUAGGGGUUUAACAACAACAUUUUCAUCAUUCCCACAAUACAAUCAAAUUUCAUGGGUUUAACAUCAUCAUUUUCAUCAUUCACACAGUUCAAUCAAAUUUCAUGGGUUUAACAUCAACAUUUCAUCAUUUCGACAAUUCAAUCAAAUUUCAUAGGUUUAACAACAACAUUUUCANNNNNNNNNNNNNNNNNAUCCAACAAUUCAAUCAAAUUCAUGGGUUUAACACAACAUUUCAUCAUUUCACAUUCAAUCAAUUUCAAGGCUUUACAACAACAUUUUUCAUUCACAAAUUCAAUAAAAUUUCAUAGGUUUAACAACAACACUUUCAUCAUUCCCAUAAUUCAAUCAAAGUUCAUGGUUUAACAUCAUCGGUUUCGUCAUUCACACAGUUCAAUCAAAUUCAGGGUUUAACAUCAACAUUUCAUCAAUUCCACAUUCAAUCAAUAUGUUCAUAGGUUAACAACAACAUUUUCAAUCAUUUACAACAAUUCAAUCAAAUUUAUAAGGUUUAACAACAACAUUUCAUCAUCCCAUAAUUCAACAAAGUUCAUGGGUUUAAUUACAACAAUAAGCAUUCCCAAAUUCGAUCAAUCAUUUAACAUCACAUUUCAUAUUCCAAAUCAACAAUUCAUGGGUUUAACAAAACAUUUCUUAAUAUUCCCACAAUUCAAUCAAAUAUUAGGAUUAACAAAACAACACAUUUUCCAUAUUCCCUAUCAUACAUUUUCAUUCCAAUUAAUAAAUUUCAUGGUUUAACAUCACGAUUUUCAUCAUUCCUCCAAUUCAUCAAAAUUCAUUGUUUAAUAACAACAUUUCCAUUAUUCCGCACAAUCAAUCAAUCAUCGGGUUUAACAACACAUUUUCAUUUUUCACACAAUUCAUCAAUAUUGCUUGGGUUUAACAUCAACAUUUCAUCAUUUCCACCAUUCAAUCAUUCAGUAGGUUUAACAACAACAUUUUCAUCACUUCCACAAUUCAUUCCAAAUUUCAUGGGGUUUAACAUUAUCAAUUUUCUCAUUCACACAGUUCAAUCAAUUUUCAUGGUUUAACAUCAACAUUUCCUCAUUUCCACAAUUCAAUAAAUUUUCAUAGGUUUAAAAACAACAUUUUCAUCUUACACAAUUCAAUCAAAAUUUCAUAGGUUUAAAACAGCCUUUCAUCAUUCCCAUAAGUCAAUCAAAUUUCAUCGGGGUUUUAACAUCGAACCUUUUCAUACGUUCACACAUUUCAAUUGAUUUUAAGGGUUUAACAAGAAUAAUUUUUAUUCACAUAUAGUUCAAUCAAUUUCAUGGGUUUACAAUAUUUUCAUUUUAAUCAACUUCCCACAAUUCAACAAAUUUCACCUGGGGUUUAACAUCAUCAUUUUGCAUCCCUCAAAAAUUCUAUAACAUUCAUUCAUAAUUCAAUUCAAAAUUCAUGUGUUUAAUAACAACAUUUCCAUUAUUCCGCUCAAUUCAAUCAAAUUUCAUGGUUUAACAACAACAUUUUCAUUUUUCACACAAUUCAAUCAAAUUUCUUGGUUUAACAUCAACUUUUCAUCAUUUCCACCAUUCAAUCAAAUUAUCGGUUUAACAACAACAUUUUCAUCAUCCCACAAUUCAUUCAAUUUCAUGGGUUUAACAUUAUCAUUUUCAUCAUUCACCAGUUCAAUCAAAUUUUAUGGGUUUAACAUCAACAUUUCAUCAUUUCCACAAUUCAAUCAAUUUUCAUAGGUUUAACAACAAACAUUUUCAUCAUUCACACAAUUCAAUCAAAUUUCAGUUUAACAACAGCACUUUCAUCAUUCCCUUAAGUCAAUCAAUUUCAUCGGUUAACAUCGACAUUUGAUCAUCACACUUUCAAUUAGAUUUUAAGGGUUACAAAAUAUUUUUAUCAUUCAUAAUCAAUAAAAUUUCAUGGUUACACAACAUUUUUCAUCAUUUCAUCAUCAUAUUAUCGCUACACACCACAUAUGCAAAUCACCCAAUUUCAUGGAUUUUAAAUCAUCACAAUUUUCAUCAUUCCACAAUUCAAUCAAACUUUCAUGGGUUUAACAUCCACAUUUUCAUAUUUCCCACAUCAAUCAAAUUCAUAUGGUUUAAAAAACAUUUCCAUAUUCCCAUUCAAUCAAAUUCAUGGGUAUUAAUCACAACAUUUUCAUCUUCUCACACAAUUCCAAUCAAAUUCUUGGCGUUACACCAUCAACAUGUCUUCCAUAUCCAACACUCAAUCAAAUUUCGAUGUUUAAACAAACCAACAUUUUCUAUCAUUCCCAACAAUUCACCAUCAAUUUUAGGUUUAAAAACAACAUCUAUCAUUCUCCCACAACCUUCAAUAAAGUCAUGGGUUUUAACAUCAACAUUUCAUCUAUUUCCACAAUCAAUCAUAAUUUCAAGGUUAACAACAACAUAUUUAUCAUUCACACAAUUCAUCAAAUUUCAUGGUUAACAUUAUACACUUUUCAUCAUCUCAUGAAGUUCAAUCAAAUUUCUGCGUUAACAUCAUCAUUUCAUCAUCUUUCAACAGACUGCAAUCAAAUUUUCAUAGGUUUACACAACAUUUUCAUCAAUACCAAUUCAAUCAAAUUUCAAGGUCUUAACAACAAGCACUUUCAACAUGUUACAUUAAUUCAAUCAAAUUUAUUAGGUUUCAAACAUAAUUUCAUAUUCCAUCAAUUCAACAUAGGAUUUAUGGUUUACACAAUAAUUUUUAUAUGACCACGAUAUUCCAUCAAUUUCAUGGUUUAACAACACAUAUUUUCAUAUCCCACAAUUCAAUCAAAUUUCUGGGUUUAACAAAAACAUUUCUAUCAUCACAUAUUCAAUCAAAUUUUAGGGGUUAAAAUAACAUUUUCAUCAUUCCCACAACUUGAAUAAAAUUUCAUGGUUUAACAUCCACAUUUCAUCAUUCAUAAUUCAAUCAAAUCAUGGGUUUAAUAACAACAUUUCAUUAUUCGGACAUUCAAAUCCAAAUUCAUGGUCUACACACAUUUCAUUUUUCAACACAAGUUCAAUCAAAUUUGUGUGUGUCGUAGCGUGAUCGUUGUCUGCUGCAUGUGCUGAUCUGGAUUUCAUGUUGGGGUGUGAUACUGUACGUUUAUUCUUCCCACAAUUCAUUCAAUGCAGGGUUAACUUAUCUCAUCAUCACACCGGUUCAACAAUUUAGUGGAGGUACAUCAAGAUUUCAUCAUUUCCACAAUUCAAUCGAUUCAUAGUUUAAUCUAUGCGUGUGUAUCUAUCUAUAUCAAUUUCAUGGUUUAACAAAACGAGCACUUAUCAUUCCUUAAGCAAUCAAAUUUCACGUUACAUCGCCUUUCGUGUGUGUGUCUGAUGUGAUAAUAUGUGUGUUUAACAAAUAUUUUUAUCAUUCAUAUAUCAAUCAAAAUUUCAUGUUUUAACACAAUAUUUUACAUUUAAUCACACAAUUCAAUCAAUUCUUGGGUUUAAACAUCAACUUACAUCAUCUUCCACCAUUCAAUCAAUUUCAUUAGGUUUAACAACAAUCAUCAUUCCCCAAUUCAUUCAAUUCAUGGCGUUUUUACAAUUAUCAUUUUCAUCAUCACACAGUUCAAUCAAAUCUUAUGGGUUAACAUAACUUCAUACAUUUCAUCAUUUCCACCAUUCAAUCAAUUUCAUAGAUUUAACAACAACAUUUUCAUCAUUCCCACAAUUCAAUCAAAAUUCAUGGGUUUAACAUCAUCAUUUUCAUCAUUCACACAGUUCAAUCAUAUUUCAUGGGUUUAACAUUACCAUUUCAUCAUUUCCACAAUUCAAUCAAAUUUCAUAGGUUUAACAAUCACAUUUUCAUCAUUCACACAAUUCAAUCAAAUUUCAUGGGAUUAACAUCAUCAUUUUCAUCAUUCCCACAAUUCAAUCAAACUUCAUGUUUUUAACGUCAUCACUUUUAUCAUUCACACAGUUCAAUCGAAUUUCAUGGGUUUAACAUCAACAUUUCAUCAUUUCCACAAUUCAAUCAAACUUCAUAGGUUUAACAACAUCACUUUCAUAAUUCCCAUAAUUCAAUCAAAUUUCAUGGGUUUAACAUCAUCAUUUUCGUCAUUCACACAGUUCAAUCAAAUUUCAUGGGUUUAACAUCAACAUUUCAUCAUUUCAACAAUUCAAUCAAAUUUCGUAGGUUUAACAACAACAUUUUCAUCAUUCACACAAUUCAAUCAAAUUUUAUAGGUUUCACAACAACAUUUUUAUCAUCCCCAUAAUUCAACCAAAUUUCAUGGGUUUAACAACAACAUUUUCAUCAUUCACACAAUUCAAUCAAAUUUUAUAGGUUUCACAACAACAUUUUUAUCAUCCCCAUAAUUCAACCAAAUUUCAUGGGUUUAACAACAACAUUUUCAUCAUUCCCAAAUUUCAAUCAAAUUUCAUGGGUUUCACAUCAACAUUUUUAUCAUUCCCACAAUUCAAUCAAAAUUCAUGUGUUUAAUAACAACAUUUCCAUUAUUCCCACAAUUCAAUCAAAUUUGAUGGGUUUAACAACAGCAUUUUCAUUUUUCACACAAUUCAAUCAAAUUUCUUGGGUUUAACAUCAACAUUUCAUCAUUUCCACCAUUCAAUCAAUUUCAUAGAUUUAACAACAAAAUUUUCAUCGUUCCCAUAAUUCAAUCAAAAUUCAUGGGUUUAACAACAAUACUUUCAUCAUUCCCAUAAUUCAAUCAAAUUUCAUGGGUUUAACAUCAUCAUUUUUGUCAUUCACACAGUUCAAUCAAAUUUCAUGGGUUUAACAUCAACAUUUCAUCAUUUCCACAAUUUAAUCAAAUUUCAUCGGUUUAACAACAACAUUUUCAUCAUUUACACAAUUCAAUCAAAUUUAAUAGGUUUAACAACAACAUUUUCAUCAUCCCCAUAAUUCAACCAAAUUUCAUGGGUUUAACAACAACAUUUUCAUCAUUCCCACAAUUCAAUUAAAUUUCAUUGGUUUAACAUCAACAUUUUCAUCAUUCCCACAAUUCAAUCAAAUUUCAUGGGUUUAACAACAACAUUUCUAUCAUUCACACAAUUCAAUCAAAUUUUAGGGGUUUAAC